This 518-nucleotide ribosomal RNA is filed under the name uncultured bacterium. Its description in RNAcentral is "bacterial SSU rRNA". It matches the Rfam family "Bacterial small subunit ribosomal RNA", at positions 10 to 518 of the family's 1533-position model. The record is from RNAcentral.
AGUUGAUCAUGGCACAGAACGAACGCUGGCGGCGCGUCUUAAGCAUGCAAGUCGAACGGCAAGAGGUAGCAAUACCUCCUAGAGUGGCGGACUGGUGAGUAACACGUGGGUGACAUACCCUUCAGAUGGGGAUAGCUAUUAGAAAUAGUAGAUAAUACCGAAUACGAGCACAGGGGUUAGAGAUCUGUGAGGAAAGGAGCUAAGGCUCCGCUGAAGGAAUGGCCUGUGGCCCAUUAGCUAGUUGGUGAGGUAAGAGCCCACCAAGGCGAUGAUGGGUAUCCGGCCUUAGAGGGUGAACGGACACAUUGGGACUGAGAUACGGCCCAGACUCCUACGGGAGGCAGCAGCUAAGAAUAUUCCGCAAUGGACGAAAGUCUGACGGAGCGACGCCGCGUGGAUGAAGAAGGCCGGAAGGUUGUAAAAUCCUUUUGAAACUGAAGAAUAAGCGUUGUAGGGAAUGACAGCGUGGUGACAGUAGGUUUUGAAUAAGCAACGGCUAAUUACGUGCCAGCAGCGGC